CGUGAUGUUUAUUUCUUACCGCCCCAGUCUGAAAAGACGUGUUGAUUGGUUUCUAAUUCUGAUA
Molecule: small nucleolar RNA, 64 nt
Filed under: Drosophila ananassae
Lineage: Eukaryota; Metazoa; Arthropoda; Insecta; Diptera; Drosophilidae
Description: snoRNA:GF26106
Source: RNAcentral